Molecule: ribosomal RNA, 151 nt
Filed under: Amborella trichopoda
Lineage: Eukaryota; Viridiplantae; Streptophyta; Magnoliopsida; Amborellales; Amborellaceae
Description: rRNA 5_8S_rRNA
Rfam family: 5.8S ribosomal RNA
About the family: 5.8S ribosomal RNA (5.8S rRNA) is a component of the large subunit of the eukaryotic ribosome.
Source: RNAcentral
ACCACGUAGGGGGAUAUCUUGGCUCGCCAUGAUGAAGAACGUAACAAAAUGCCAUACUUGGUGUGAAUUGCAAAAUCCAGUGAAUCAUCGAGUCUUUGAAAGUAAGUUGCGCCCGAGGCUGUAGGCUGAGGGCACACCUGCCUGGGCGUCA